AUUGAACGCUGGCGGCAGGCCUAACACAUGCAAGUCGAACGGUAACAGAAAGCAGCUUGCUGCUUCGCUGACGAGUGUCGGGCGGGUGAGUAAUGUCUAGGAAGCUGCCUGAUGGCGGGGGAUAACUACUGGAAACGGUAGCUAAUACCGCGUAAUGUCGCAAGACCAAAGAGGAGGACCUCCUGGCACCUUGCCAGCGGGUGUGACCAGAUGGGAUUAGCUUGUUGGUGGGGUAACGGCCCACCAAGGCGACGAUCCCUAGCUGGUCUGAGAGGAUGAACAGCCACACUGGAACUGAGACACGGUCCAGACUCCUACGGGAGGCAGCAGUAGGGAAUCUUGCGCAAUGGGCGAAAGCCUGACGGAGCAACGCCGCGUGAGUGAUGAAGGUCUUCGGAUCGUAAAACUCUGUUAUUAGGGAAGAACAAAUGUGUAAGUAACUAUGGCCGUCUUGACGGUACCUAAACAGAAAGCACCGGCUAACUACGUG
This 490-nucleotide ribosomal RNA is filed under the name uncultured bacterium. Its description in RNAcentral is "partial 16S ribosomal RNA". It matches the Rfam family "Bacterial small subunit ribosomal RNA", at positions 30 to 507 of the family's 1533-position model. The record is from RNAcentral.